Molecule: unclassified non-coding RNA, 4154 nt
Filed under: Hevea brasiliensis (rubber tree)
Lineage: Eukaryota; Viridiplantae; Streptophyta; Magnoliopsida; Malpighiales; Euphorbiaceae
Source: RNAcentral
AGACAAAAACAGCCGGCUCUAUGAGACAGAAGAAGUUGAGGACUACAGCCAAAGUUUUCAGGAAUCCCAUUUUACUCCAAAUGGACGAGCUAAAACUACUAUUUCUUCAGGAAUUAAAUUUUUUCUUUGCGUCGUCUUCUUCCACCUCAACAUCAACUCCACUAUCCAAUCACCCAUCAGGUAACACCUCUCUCUCUCUUUUAAGACAUUCUUUUUCUUUUAUGGUUUGAUUCUUGCAUUCUGAAGUUGCAAUGAGAAAUCCAAAUGAAGCAAAGUUGACUUCAAGGGGGAAUAUCUGUUCUUUAGUUUUUAAGACUAACAAUUUCUUGGUGGUGUUUGGUUUUGUCAGUUUGAUGUAUCUUUUUUUUUCUGCCUAUAGUCUUCAUGUCUUUCCAAUGCAAUGCAGUAAAGUUUCUUUAAUCCAAUCAUGUCCUGCUUCACUCUACUAUGUACCCAACACCAUUAUCGGCCUCCAAGAAACAGCUUCUUUAUUCCAUGUGAAUGCUAGUGUAGUUAAUAGGACUGUUGAUGGUUUCUUGGUUACCAUAAAUUGCAGUUGUUCAGUUACCCAAGAUUACUUCACUUGGCAAAUGGACUACUUGGUCCAACCUGGGGAUUCAUGGGAGAGCAUUUCCUGGAAAUUUGGCUCAUUUGUGGUGGAAAACCACACAAAUGCAUUAAAUUCAUUGCAAAAUACGACACUAGAUUUUUUAUGUGGUUGUUCUGAAACUGCACAUGUGAUAACCUACAGGGUUAAAAAGGGAGAUACAUUGUUUACUAUUUGUUCUCGGUUUAAUGUUGAUUUAAACAUGACUGCCCGGUCCAAUAGGCUGGAAAAUCCACACCUUAUCUAUGAUGGUGAUAUUCUAUUUAUCCCGGAACCAGGUAAGAAAGAUAAUUGUUCAUUUCUUUGUCUGAUGAUUGGUGCUAUCUAUCUUAUCCACAUUUCGCAUGUUCUUUGUGUAUUUAUUAUCUAUUGGUUGGUUUGGUUUUAUUGUCCUUAGUACAAACACUUUUAAGGCUUAAAUAUGGGAGCAUAAAAUUGUUACAUAAGGGACAUUUCCAUCUGAUAAAUGAUUUCAGGAUUUUCUUUUUCAAAAUUUUGAAACAUAAUUCAAUCUAUAGAACAUAUGUUAUCAUCUUGGCCAGUAAUUUGAACCUAAGACCUGACUCAAUUCCAGGCUUCCCUUUAUAAUGCUAUUGUUUGGCUUGCACUUUGGUCUUUAAAGUAAUAAGGGAAUUUGGAGCAGUUCAUUUUCAAUUGGGAAGCUCUUUCCAGCUUCUUAUAUGAUUGAGUGGGAAAGCACAUAAAUUUGUUUGCACUUAAAGCUUUUCAUAUGUUUGCAUUUUGGGGGGUUUGUGUUUUGAAUUCAGCCCAUCUAUUAAUAAUACACAUAUGUACUUCACCUGCUGAUUAAUUAUCUUGUUGGACUUUACAGAAGGGGGCCUUCAAAACCUCACCAUACUUGAAGUGGACAGAAAAGAUACAAAGGAUAGAAAAGCAUCAAAAUCUCGAAUUCGUAUUCUGGUUGGAGCCAUAUCUAGUGCUUUUAUUAUCAUACUGUUAGCAGUUGUACUUGUAUUCUGGAAAAAAAUUAGGGCCAACAGAGCUCGACAAUCAGAAGCUUUUUCACAGAGACCAUAUUGCUUGCUUUGUAAUCUUGAUGAGUGCUCUUGCUCUAGAAGUAAUAUAGCUUGACCUGAAAAACUUCUAUCUUUUUUUCUUCCUUUUUGUCUUUUUUCCCUGUAUCAAUGAUGAUUGAUUUAUGCAUUUGAACCAUGUUGGAGGCUAGCUAAAUUUGUACACAUUAUGGUUGUUCAUGGACAUUUCAUUGCAGAAUGUGAAGAAAGCCCAGCUUCCUCAUUGAACUCUGAUAAAGCUACUGUUUUCCCUUACUAUGAAAUUAUUGACGCAACUUCCAACUUUAGUGUAACUUCAAAGGUUGGCCAAGGAUCAUAUGGGUCAGUUUAUCAUGGAAAAUUAAGAGGAACUGUAAGCUAGUGAUUUCAUCUAAAAUGUUUCUCUAAAAGUAUGUGCAAGAAUUAUUAAUUCUAUGGGAACUUUUUCCCUCCUCAUAGCCUAUUUUAACAUUUAUGCAGGAUGUUGCCAUCAAGCAGAUGAAAAGUACAAAGACAAAAGAGUUCAUGUCAGAACUAAACAUUCUUUGCAGAGUUCAUCAUUCAAACUUGAUUGAGCUUAUUGGAUAUGCAGCUGGUGGAGAUUCUUUGUUUCUGGCCUAUGAAUUUGCCCAAAAUGGUGCAUUGAGUGAUCAUCUGCACAGUCUCACCUUAAGAGGUCAUAAACCUCUUCCUUGGGUUACACGUGCCCAGAUUGCUCUUGAUGCCGCUAAAGGGCUUGAGUAUAUACAUGAGCACACAAAACCAUAUUAUGUCCAUCGUGAUGUGAAGACGAGCAAUAUUCUUUUAGAUUCCAAUUUUCGUGCAAAGGUGAGCAUCCAUAUCUUUGACAAAAUUAGGACUUUCAAAAUUUAUUGGAAUGAUAUCGAGCAUUGCAUUUUUAUCUGCAUUCAUACUGGAAAUUUGAACACUAGAGAUGCUAAGGAUUAAGAACGGAUGGGUGUAAGCUUUUCUAGUGUGUCAUUAGUUUGAAGUCUGUACCAGUCGAACUGGCCUGGCAAAGGAUUACCAAGAAGGUGACUGUAGCUUAUAAACUUUAGCUUUUUGUUUUAGACUUUUAACAUUUUGUAUUUGGUAAAAUAUGAACCAAAUUAUGUUAUAGCUAGUUAUAUGUGUGAAACAACAAUGACAUAUAACCUACUAAUGGCAAUCAUGGACAUUUCGAUCUCAUGGGAGAACUAUUAAUAUUAAAUCUCUGUCCCUCAGAUUGCAGAUUUUGGACUGGUAAAGUUAUUAGAGAAUUCUCCAGAUGUCCGAGCAGCAGCAUCUAGAAUUGUUGGCACAUUUGGUUACCUUGCACCUGAGUGUGUACUUAUUUAGAUUCAUGCUGGUGAUUUUAAUUGAUCCUUUUGUCACCGUCUAAGGCAAUUACUGAAGCAAUGAUAUAAGAUCUUUUGAUGUUAUACAUUAAUUUCAAAACUAGGUACGUUCGGGACGGGUUUGUGACCACAAAGAGUGACGUCUAUUCCUUUGGAGUUGUUCUUAUGGAACUACUUACUGGCCAACCGGCAUUAAGUAAAGAUGCAAGUUCUGAAAAUUAUCAACUCAGCGAACAUCGUUCUGUGGUGCAAUAUAUGCUGUCAGCAUUAAAUGAUACCGAGGAUCCUUUCACCCAGCUGGAGAAAUGCAUUGAUCCAAACCUGACCUGCUACCACAAAGAUUCACUCUUCCAGGUAUUGAUCGCUCUUACUCUUCUCAUGCAUUUUGAAAGGGAUGGGGAGAGGGGGAUCAUUUAACCUCCCAAAAUUUCCAUGCAAACCUAUUAUCCUUGCCAAUGGCCUUGCAGCAAUUCUGCAUUGGCCUUUUUGUUGACAUUGACCAUUUUAAUCAUCCCAACCUACCUUCUAUCUGAAAAUUAUUCUGGCAACCGUGGUAUGUGCAACUGUUUUAUCAUAUGUUUUAACUGUUGCAUCAAAUAAUUAUUCAUCUCUAACUUGACUUUUGUUGGUUCUACUCUGUAAUAAGAUGGUCCUCUUGUCCAAAGACUGUGUUGAUGAUAAUUGGAACCGGCGUCCUGACAUGAGUAGAGUUGUGCUACGCCUUUCACACAUCCUGUUGAACUCCAAGGAUAGCCAGGAACUUGAAUGCAGCCAACUGAUGGCCUAAACUUUCACGAAUUGGCCUUUAUUGUCUCCCCUUUUCACAUGCCAUAUCUUACAAGUGAUAGCACUCAUCUAGCUUAAAUGGAAUGUUAAAUGUCUAUAUUUACAUUGAGAGGUGGAUGCAGCUGACUUGUGAUUAUGCAGUUACAGGAUAUGCAAAGUCUGCAGCACAUUCAGCCUCCUUUCCUAUAUGGGAAGCCAAAGGAAGGUCCUGGAACCAAUCUAUAAAUAUUUAUUUGUUUUCUUAUCAAAGUUUAACUGGAAUAUCAGUUACUGGAACCGCUAAUAGAAAUAUUUACACUAAUAGGAAUAUUAGUAGCAUUUAAAGAAAGGAUCUGUGUAUUUUCUUGAAAAGUUAUUACAGUAUACAUGUUUCCAGUAUUCCAUCAUUUUGAUCCCCUCCAAAUUUUAUCA